GUGGGGAAUAUUGGACAAUGGGGGGAACCCUGAUCCAGCCAUGCCGCGUGUGUGAAGAAGGCCUUUUGGUUGUAAAGCACUUUAAGCGAGGAGGAGGCUACCGAGAUUAAUACUCUUGGAUAGUGGACGUUACUCGCAGAAUAAGCACCGGCUAACUCUGUGCCAGCAGCCGCGGUAAUACAGAGGGUGCGAGCGUUAAUCGGAUUUACUGGGCGUAAAGCGUGCGUAGGCGGCUUUUUAAGUCGGAUGUGAAAUCACCGAGCUUAACUUGGGAAUUGCAUUCGAUACUGGGAAGCUAGAGUAUGGGAGAGGAUGGUAGAAUUCCAGGUGUAGCGGUGAAAUGCGUAGAGAUCUGGAGGAAUACCGAUGGCGAAGGCAGCCAUCUGGCCUAAUACUGACGCUGAGGUACGAAAGCAUGGGGAGCAAACAGGAUUAGAAACCCCGGUAGUCC
RNAcentral lists this ribosomal RNA (451 nucleotides) under uncultured bacterium. Its description in RNAcentral is "partial 16S ribosomal RNA". It matches the Rfam family "Bacterial small subunit ribosomal RNA", at positions 354 to 796 of the family's 1533-position model. The record is from RNAcentral.